Molecule: long non-coding RNA, 5517 nt
Organism: Chroicocephalus ridibundus (black-headed gull)
Lineage: Eukaryota; Metazoa; Chordata; Aves; Charadriiformes; Laridae
Exons: 5
Source: RefSeq, a predicted model, not a curated record
AGGUGGCUUUGCUGUAAUCCUCUCUGGAAGAAAGGCCAAAAGAAGGCUCUUGCGGAGAUCCUUAUUAACUCCUUUUCAAUUUGCUGGCAGCGUGAGAUGUCACUUAGAUUCUGGCACAGCCUUUAGGCAAAGGCCAGAGGAUGCCAGCAGUGUCUCCAGCUUUCUAACCUGCAGGUAAAUGGAGACGUUUCAUUUCAAGCGUCAGUGCUUCCCUACCACACCACGAACAAAAAAUCCACCCAACAACGCCCCUAAACUGGACAAAGCUGAGAAGCUUUGCUGAAAGCAGCGUUUCAAUAUAGUUUGACUGCAAAAGCCUACAUCAGGAGUUAAACAUUUUAUGGCUCUUCCGAACUUCGGUAAGUUACUUGAAAUGCUUAUUGGCUCUAGCAGUGUUUGAUACCAAUAGAGAUGCACUGGCACUGGCUGUGUAACUUCAGAGGAAAAGCGGAGACUACAGGAACAGAAGACCAUAGGAAACGGCCUGGGAGCGGGAAGAAGAAUGAACAUUUCUGAAGCAUGCUGGCUUGGGUCAACUGAGGCUAUUAAGUCAACUCUUCGUGGGCAUUAUGCAUUUUGAGUGACAAAAACCUCACCAGCAUGUUGGAGGAAUUUCAGAGAAAUAAUGCUGCGAGGAGAACUACCCAUUGUCCCUGGAGAGAAGAGACCAGCAGGCGAAGCCAGACUCACUACAGCGAGCUCUAUGCCUACUGUGAGGUGAUCUCUGCUCAGCCUGAACGUGGGAGAAGUACAGAAUGUGCCCCUGGAGAGAGAGGGGGCAGCACAAUUUGUAGCUCCAGGAGAGAGACAGAGGGCUUUGGAGGAACCUCUGGCUACUUUACAGAAACUUAGCAAGACCACUGGAAAAGUUGCCUGGCUUUAUUUUGAAGGUUCUCGAUAUCCUCCUGGCUAAACACCAGAGAAGAGCCUCACAGCUUAUCCAGCCAAAUACCAGAACAGACAUUUAGGAACAAAGACACACUACAAGACUGGAAACAAUAUUCUGUAAAGCAGGAAAUCUGUGGAAGGAACAAGGGAAUGCAGAUGGACAUGGUCUGAGGGCAACACUUCCAACUUUCGGAGGAAACAGAGUCAUGGGUAUAUUCAACAUGAGCUGUAUAAAGACUGAGUUGUAUCAUUCUCUCUACACUGCAGAAUUGAUAUCCAUGUUUUCAGAAAUCUACUGGAAAUUUGAAAAGAUUUUAGAGAAGACCUACAAGAAAAAGCCAAUCGCCAAGAAGCAUGCUUUACUUCACAAGACUAACACUCUUGGAUAAACUAAACAGAGUGACAAGGUUAAAAAGCAGCCUAAUUGCAUUCUUCAGGUACCUACAUGGAGAAGCAACUCUCAAGAGUAGUCAGCACUUUAAUCUACCAGAAAAGGACAUAGUGAGAGCUAAUGGUUAGAAGCUUAAGCUAGACAAACACAAGAUAGAAACAAGGCAUAAUUUUAACUGUGAGGAAAAAAAAAAUAAAUCCUUGGAACAAAUUAUUGAGGAAUGAGGUGCAGUCAAUGAUGUCUUUAAAUCAAGGCUCAAGAAAUUUGCAAAGUCAGAUGUAAUUAGUUUAAUGACAAGAAUACUGAUUGAAAGGCUAUGGACCAUAGAUAACCUUAACUGUUUCCUCUGGUCUUAAAAUUUAUAAAUCUUUCCAGAGGCUACAAGGUUUUCCAAGGACAGGGAUUUCUGCUAUUCAUGCCAGAUUAUGUCACCUAUGCGCUGCACUUUGACUUUGCUUCAGAUCAAUCCUGAAAGAAAAGUUGACAUCAAAUAUGUAAGUCUAUUUAGCACAGCCCUUCUUGGAGACUCAGGCAUUGCUCCUUUUAAAUUGGCACUGGUGAUUUUGGGGCACAAAUUCUCCUAGAUCGCAGCCCAAGUUCUCUGAAUGAGCUCACUAUCUGCCAAACCCACAUCUCCUCGCCCAUGCCAACACUCAGAAAUGCUGCUCCCAGUACUGCACAGGUGGCUGCUGCUGACUGUGGCACAGAGCAGGGGUCCUCUGGGAAAUGUGUCAACCAACUUACUGAAGCCAGCUACUCCACUGUCACCAAACAAAUGCAGGCUCAUUUGCCCUGCAGCAAUCACAUCUUUAAUCUUAGAGGCUGCUUUUACCUGGCUUCACAUGGUGCAGUGUGAGAGAAGCCAAAUCUAAGGAGUCACAAGUGAGCAGCUCUAAGCUGCUGCCUUAAAGCCCUUGGUACAGGCAAACACAUUUUAUUCCCUCUCGCUAAAGUUGGGAUUCCUAGAUAAACAGCAAAGAGUGCCUUCAAUAGAACUUUGAGUAAUCAAUGCCACAUGAUUAUUCUAUCCAUCCAAACAGUUAAGUCCUUUUGGUUCUUUUAAUUCCAUUAGUAGUAACACUGCCUCUGUCCCUUACCUGUCCUCCCAGGUACUUCCCUGAGAUAGAACAGCACUGGCCUGGCAGGGUGCGGCAUCACCAGGUUCACCUCCACUCUAUACCCAAUUAAUACUCAUAAAGUCAGGACAUCUGGCUUGAAUCCCAAUCCACGCAGACAGGGCUGUGUUGAACACAGAGCACAGCAGCAAAGGCCACUCACAGCCACAGCCACUAUGCUGUUUGCUGCAGUCACUAUCGCGCUUUAGUUUUGUAGUAUAUUUCUUCUAGAGAAGGGCCCUGUGUGCAGCCCUGCUAUUCAGAAUCCCAUUAACUUUUUAUUUGAAAAACUUCCACCUUCUAAAGUGUAGCCAUUUCAGAAAACACUGCACUGUGAUUAGCUGCAGUGACACCACCUGCCAUUCCUGACCCAAACCACAGUAAAAGCUCACAUUCACUCAGAUGUGACUGUGACAUGCUUUCAUACUUAUUUCCAAACUCAGUAUAGAUAGACCUGGAUCAAUAGCAAUAAAUCUCCUAUGGGAUUCAAAGAUGUUUGGAGCUGGGAUCACAAUUUUCCUUACAUGAUUCUAUAGGCCUAAGAACAACAGCAAAAGCCCCCAGGUGUUGCUGUAGUGAAAAUAAGAUGUAUACACAGAGAAGUGCAAAGUGCAGUUUUUUUGUGCCUUGUGAAGUUUUUUGAGGUACUGAAAGGCUGUAAGGAGUUCAUAACAAUGUUUAUAAAUGCUGGAAAAGGCAGUUUUAGCAAGAAUGAAAAUCUGUCUGAGACUUGUUCUGUUGUUUAUUCAUUAUUCACCAUUGUUCAUUUUCCUCUAAUACAUUUUCCUUAUUCUGUCAGGGGAAUUCUAAACACGCUAUUUGGCCAGGAUGACAAACUGCACAAUCUAAAUAUUAAAUAGCAAAAAGUCAAAGAGAAUGCUUUUUGAAAAACCUGUAGGUAACAAAAAAAACCCCAAAAAAGCCCAGAUUAAACCAGUGGCAUUAAAGAAACUGCAGGCUGGGUUAGUCUGCACAUGAGUCACUAAUUCAAAGGAGCAACCUUGUACUUUCACCAAUAUUGCCAGCUUUUGGGACACUUUGAGAAGUCACAUAGUACUUGCAUGGGGGUUUGUAUAAUACUCCAACUAUGGAAUCCAGCAGCUAUAGCUGAGAAUUUUGGCUUUUAUUAAAAAAGGGUUUAUUAUAAAAUGUUGAGGCCUCAUGGGUUUUGCUAAAAGUCUGAAGACACUUGAAAGCAAAAGGCAUCCCCUGUCCCCCCCUCAACUUAGUAAGAAGAAAGAGCUGUAUUUGUCAUUCUGCCUCACCACCAGUGUUAUCUUGCAUGAUUUCAUACCUGAAUGCUGGCAGCUUCUCUACCUGGUAAAGCUCUGGCAUAGCUCCGGGGGCUGGUGCUAUGACUAUGUAACAGAUGCCAUAGCUAUUUAGACUAUUCAUACUAGUUCAGAAUCUAAUAAAAUAACCAGUCCUUCUUAUGGUACACCUGUGUGAAUUUUUUUCCUAAGCAGAUCCUAUUUAAAUCCCAUUUUUCUACAAAGCAUGACCACUCUUACAAGAGGCAUCAGCCACAUUCUCUCAGCUGUGUACCUCUGUGACCAGCAGAGGCCAGCUCUCCAGUGGUCACGCGAGAAUUGGUUGACUACGCAACACAGUCUGACAGCAACAGUCAGGGAAGUCUUUACUAGGCCAAAUUUCACCUUUCUUGGGCUUGACUGCUGGAAAAUGCAAUAAUCAAAAAACUAUUAGAGUUUCUUUAUCUGUGAUAAAGUUUCUUUAUCUGUGAUAACUUUUUCCAAAACAGAAAAGAAAGUUACAGUAUCAGGUUUUUUCCCCUAUUACUAAUCUUCUUGACAAACUGUUGCUGAAAUUUUUCCCACCACAUCUGUGAAGACAAAUGGAAUAAAAAGAAAAGCCAGUGGCUCCACUUAUCUUUCUAAUUAACACAGAAUACAUGUUGACUAUGUAAUUUCCGAAGACCCCAUCCAAUCUCGUAUUGCUCGCAUAAAUACAUGAUAUGGUCAGAGUCCAUAUCUCCAGAUUUUUGAAGAUUUGGAAGUCAUCAAGAGAACUAACAACAGUGAAACACAGUGUUAACUGGAAGCGCUGCAGCAUAUUAACAACGGAAAAAAAGCCACAACUCUCAAACUGUGUUGCAUCAAAAGAGCAAGGUGGCAACAAUUCUGAGAGGAGGAAAACUGCAGAAAUCACUGAGACAGAAGCUGGGGCGUAAAUACCAUAGAAGGCAGAGCGUACUUGAGGGAUGAAAGGCUUUGAGAAACUGGCUAUGUGACCACCACAUGCAAACAUGCCGGUGCAAAACGCUCCACUGAAGGAGAAACGCGACAGUGCUCUCUGCUGCCAACACAGACAAGGGUCCUUCAGAGCUCAUUAGCACCACCAAGAGAUUUGCACAGCUAAAAUGACGAGGACCACAAUACCGCUACAGAAAGUCUUGAGACAGGGAGUGGAUUCCCAUUGUUCCAAAACUGCAAAGGCCACAUCCCCGUAAACAGAUUUCACUGAGCAGCAAUGAUUUCUUUGCUAACCUCAAAUUAGUGGUAACAAUGGACCUUACAGCCAAAUCCACACAGCAGUCUAUAGGAGAAGCAUUCAGUCAAGAAUCACAAGUGCUGUAAACUGGAGGAUGAGCUACGAAGAACAGUAUCCAUCUUGCAAAACGGAAUGUCUCAUCAUGUAGACAAACAAAUUGUUGAUAGAAAAAUGUGCCACAGACAAGCUAAUCUUGGAAACAGAGUUGAAACCAUGCAAAUCAAAAGCAAUGGAUAUUCAGGUUCUGCAUAAAGCAGCUUUGCAGAUGAAAAAUGACACCCAGCAUACACGGAGUAAAUGAGUCCUGUCAUCCUUCACUGAGAGGACUGAAAUAAGUUUCAAUUACUGAACCCAUUGCACUCACCUUUUUCUACAACAUAAACAGGACAACAGAAAUGCUUACGCUAAUCAGCCAGGGCUGAAUUUCCUUUCAUCAAGACAGCUUACGCAGACACGUGGGAAAAAAACACCCACAUUUAACAAGUAGAAAAAAAAUAGUGGAAAACUGUGAAAGCUAGGUAUUCAGAGGAUGACUGAUUCACCAAAACUAUGUGAGGGCUUAAAAAACCCCACAACUUCUGAAACAACCAAUGUAAAUGUUAAUAAUGCAAAAGA